AGCAGUGUGGCUCAGUGGAAAGAGCAUGGGCUUGGGAGUUGGAGGUCAUGGGUUCGAAUCCCAGCUCUGCCA
This 72-nucleotide transfer RNA is filed under the name Ornithorhynchus anatinus (platypus). It matches the Rfam family "tRNA". Rfam says of the family: Transfer RNA (tRNA) molecules are approximately 80 nucleotides in length. Lineage: Eukaryota; Metazoa; Chordata; Mammalia; Monotremata; Ornithorhynchidae. The record is from Rfam by way of RNAcentral.